GCCGCUCCGUGCCACCGCGGCCGCCUUCCGCGGCCUCCCGGGGCCGCGGCGCCCCUCGGGGGGCGGCAAGGCCGCCUGAUGGUUGUGCAUCGCCUGCGGAAGCCAGAAGGGAGGCAAACCCUCUAGCAAAGAGGUACUCGCCCUGUCCUAGAAGUUGUCCUAUCUGUUGAUGUUUAUAUACCGUUGUCGGCCGAUAACGGAAGCCGGGAUGUUCUGAAGACCUGCUCGCUAGGCCACGCACGGAGGACGUUGGUUCCUCAUGGGCCACGGGCCCGCCUAGGGGAAAGUCCCCGGACCGCCGGCAGAGAGUGCCGGGCGCUACCGCGCCCCCGCCCGCUGCCGCCUCACGCCUUCCUCCGCCGAGACGCCCCCGGGCCGAGCGGGUGAGCGCGGGGUGGGCUCUCGUCACGGCCACAGAUACGCAGGUAGCGCGGCAGGCGCGCCAACAGAACGGGGCUCACUCUCAGGCCAUCCUCUUUUGCCGGGCGGGGGCUCCGCAGCGGCGCAUCCCGCGGGACACUCACGGCCCGGUGGUGCCUCCCCGGCGCGGCACAGCUCUGCGCGGGCACGGCAAAGCCUGUGCGGGGACACGCUGCUUCCCCGGCAGUGGCGUGCUGGACAAGCGGCCCCGGCCCCUCGGUGCUCAUACCCGCUGGACUUCUGGCGCCUCUUGGCGUGCAGGAUCAUUAAGGUUGGAAAAGACCAUCGACCAUUGAGAUCAUCGACUCCAACCUUUGACCAGACACCAUCUUGUCAACCAGACUAUGGCACUAAGUGCCAUGUCGUCUUUUCUUGAACACCUUCAGGGACAAUGGCUCCACCACCUCCCCGGGCAGCCUGUUCCAAUGCUUGGCAAUCCCUCCCAUUGUCCAACGUGAGCACAUUCAAUCGGAGAGGCACUUCGGACGGAGCACUUACCUGCCCGAAAAGGCUUUCCCUCCUUCCCAGCUCGAGGAAAUAGCAAGAGGCCAGAUGGCAGUACUCUGCUGCGAGCACUUGCACCACACAGAAGUUCAUGGUGCACCAGCACGGGAGGCUUCGGUGGGUGUCUGGGCGUCGGCACAAACACUGACACAGCACCGAGAACAAACCACACUCUUCAGCACCGCGGCCACUUACCAGGCUGUGCUGUGCGGGGCAUACCUACCCCUGGCAUCCCCUGCUCCGCCUUCUCUGCAGGGAAGGCCAAUGCGUGCCUCCAGUGGUUUUUGCCCACUUUAAUUAGAUUCUCAUGCUUAAACUCCCAGGUACUAACUAUGCAAGAUGCUGCUGCCUUGCUGAUAAACUGAACUAAUUUCAUAGGCAGUACCACUUUUGCCUCUAGUAUGUCAAGCACAUAGCACAUCAUCAUGGUCAGCUGGAAUAAAGCCCUCUGCUGCACUACAGUCAUGUCUGCAUAUAAAACAUGACAGAAGAGCACUGGCAGAGAUCCCCAAAAUGACAUAAAAUUCGGGCAUCUCAGACCCAAAAUCAAUGGUUUAUUACCUUACCCAAACUAUCUUUGUCACUUUACCCUAAAAGCUCACAAGUGGCCCAGAGACAAUGCUUCCUUCUGGUUCAUUCCAUCUCGAUGUGUUUGAAGUUCCUGUGGCAAGCCCAGGUCUGCUAAAUGAUGUCUUUCUCUUUGGUUGAGCAUCAAACCUGUGGCCUAUAUGCAGGCACAGGACAGUUUGCAAAGUUAGUUUAGUUUUAGUUUCAGUUCAGUUAGUUUUCCACACCUGCUGUUCCUCUUCCAGCAAUAUCCUUAUGGUGACCCCUUUCCAGCCAUGUCAGAGCCCACACUAGGCAGAGGAGACAAGUGUGCAGAGCAGGGAGCACCUCUGCAGAACUAGUGGUGGCAGCUCUGACUGCCUCACAUGAGAGCCCUGAAAGGGUGUGCAAGGGGCUCAGAAACCACCUGGCUUGAGCUGUUAUUUUGAUUGCUGUCUUAGCAACUUGAACUACUCAUCUUUGUUUUCUCCUGUGAUCCUGCAUGGAAUCACCUGUACAUCUAUGGGGAAAGAGAGAUUUCAAAUUAAAAUGCUGUCAAAGAACCCAUCCCCAAAGAAACAACUAAACUGGGGCACAGCUCUAUGAAGUCUUGUUUUUUUGGCUGAGAAAUUGUGAUGAAAUCUCAGUGUCCCAGUUUCAACUACUAAAAGGAUAUAUCUAAAGCUCUGUGAAGCACCUGCUACAAAGGCUGAAGACCACAGUUAAGCUAGUGGAGACAAGCUGAAGCUUGUGCAGUGACUGAUGUGUGCUUGUUUUUCUUUCUUGGCCCUAAAAUUGCACUAUAGCACCUUAAUGACUUGAACUGGUUCUGUGCAUGUGUGAACAAAAUGGUUUCACCUGUAGGUAAUGGUAAAUGUUGGUGUUCAAAUUUGUUAGUAGGAGAGAAUACAUCAAACAUCAAACUUCUCUUGCCUAUAGGCUAAACUAAGCUGACACAACAUGGUCUAGUGGUAGAUGCUGUGGGGAAAAAGAAUUUUGUUGCUGUCCCUCUUUCACUGGGCAAAUCUGUCCCCGAGCUUGUAAGUUGCAAAAUAUAGAGAAAAUAAAAGCAAUAUCUGUACUUUUAAAGUUUUUCUUUCAGCUAGAUGUUAAUUUUUUGCUAUGUUUUUGCAUAAUGUAUAAUAUGCCAUGCUCUUUGUUCAGGUAACAACAAUUAACUUGACUAUGUGUAUGUGCCUUCUAGAUGGUUCUGUUAGUUGCCACUUCCACAGCAAAUGUACUGCCAUUAGGUAGGUUAAGCAUUUUUAAGAAAAUGCUGCCAUUAAAUCUGCUGUCAGGAUGCCUCAAUUUUUAGUCUGUGAUUAAUUAACAUUCACUCACAGAUGGGCAUUUAGGAAUACAGGUUUUAUGUUGAUACCUGGUAACAAUUUCAAAUACGUUGUAGACUAAUUAUGAAAAUCGUGCAUGAUAAUUUCUGAGCACUACUGCCUGUUCCUAAGGUAAUGGAAGAGUGAGUGACAGUGGUUACCACCAAUGUAUUUUCCUCCUCUGGUAACAUUCCUGCAACUAAAAAAGUAUCAUUCAGCUCCAACAUCUGAGCCUGUAGCCCUUUAAAGUUUUCAUUGCUACUGGUGGUCAAGUAACAUUAACUGUUAAGCCCAAGUGGGCUGCAAAAGGAGCUUUCUUUUCAAUAUGAAUAUAGAGAUUAAUCACAUUGGGCAAAAGAUAUUAUGUCACUAGUAAGAAAACUGACCAAUGGAUUUAUUAAAUCCUCUGAUGUUUUACAUUUUACAUUUCAAAUCUUUCCGCCUGGAGAAGAGAGAGCUGAGAGAGGAUUUUAUCAAUGUCCUUAAGUAUCCAAAGGAAGGGUGUCAAGAGGAUGGAGCCAGGCUCUUCUAGGUGGUACCAAGAAAUAGGACAAGAGUCAAUAUGCAGAAAUGGAUAUAUAGGAAGUCCCACCUGAAUAUGAGGAAGAACUUCUUUGCUGUGUAGGUAACCAAACAUUGGAACAGAUCGCCCAGAGAAGCUGUAGAGCCUCCAUCUCUAGAGGGGUUCAAAAGCUGUCUGGACACAAUCUGUGCAAUGUGCUCUAGGUGACCCAGCCUGAGCAGGGAAAUUGGACCAGAUGACUCACUGUGGUCCCUUCCAGCCUCACCUAUUCUGUUAAUUUAACUGCAGCUAAGUUCUAUAUUCAGUCAGAUGUUGCCUAUAUUUUGACAGCAAUCUUCCAGCCUAAAGCCUCCUUUAGUUUGGAGUAAAUACCACAUUUCUCAUUAUUUUGAAGAAGAGGAUGUUUGAGAGGCAGGAAUCUAUUCAUAUUGUUUAACCAUUAAUUUUUCUCACAAUUACAACUGAAUAAUAAAACAAAUGUAAACUCUGUCUGUUCUUGGGAAAAAAACAAACAAAAACCUGUACAUUGGUCAUAUCCUAAUAGCAAAGGACAAUACUACUUUUUGGUAACUCAGAAUAAGUGAGUACUGAAAAAUUUGCUUAGCAGAAGCGCUACUAGAAAACCCCUAAUGUGGGUGAAUUGGUGCUACAGGGUUAUUUUGAAGAUAUGAAAUUACUCUCUGGUGCUAUUUGUGGUGAUUUUUCAGUUGCACUAGAAAUUAAUUAUUUUUACUAGGCUAGGAUAAGCAGGUUCCAAAGGAGAAAAAAACCCACACUAGCAGGGAAAUAAAAUGAGGCUUCCUCCUGUUUGUUGCAGAGUUUUAAUGAGGAAUGCCAAAACUCUGUCCAAGUUUUCAGGGGAACUCUGAAUUUCAUAAAUAGUAAUCAUAAGCAUGUAAUUACCCCAUUUUCGCAUACCGAGUGGAAUUCAUUUCACUGACAUCUGUGACAAGAGACCUGGGCUCCCCUUACAGUCAAUGAAGACAUUUUUAGAGCAAGACCUAUUUAUAUUAAGAUUCUCUCUCAUUCCACAUAUUUAGCUGGAUGACUCCCACCUUCAUUUCCUGAGCUAGAAAGAAAAAAUAACAGCUGCAUAUGGGAGAAUAUUAUGAAUGUCUUGAACUAUCAAUGAUUGAAACUUUCUGCAGGUACACUGCCCACCCUCAUUUCAUAACCUUGAUUACAGGGGUGCACUUGUGUACUCACAAAAGGAAGAAGUAAGAAUGUGUUUUUCACAUGACCUAUGCUGAGAAGCAAAAUCACAGAAAUGCAGCAUCCAUGUCGGUAGGUACCUCAGGUAAGAACACACCAAAAUCCUUUCUUUAUUGUGUGCAAAAGGGUCUUGGUUCUUUUCCCUUAAAUUCAUGUGGAUUCUUCCAUUUAUUAGGGUGGAAGAGGAUCAGGUUCAAGGCUGAGGUAAAACAAGCAAGACAGUUGUUACCUUUGCAGUAAGAUUACCUUGUUACCAUUUCUAACUUGGCUUCCCUAAACAUCAUCUGCAUGCCUUCCGAGGUUUUUCGCAUGGUGAUUGGUUCUAGAGCUGGAAACCAAAACCACUGAUCAUUUCUGCUUUAUAAUAGUAGCUGAGGAAGAAGAGUUACUGUGUGAAAGCAGUUUCCUGGAGAAUGGCAGGGAAGUGUUAUUUUGGACACAAGUGGACAGAUCCAUGUUGUAAAUGACAGGAAAUUAUCCAUGUGGUGCUAUCAUUGCAGUGACCAGAUGCUGCCCCUCAGCUGAUCAGCAGUGGCCUCUCCUCUAAGGAGCUGCAGUUCCUAUGCCAGCCAAGCAUGCUCCAUAGCACCUGUGAGAAGCAGGUAGUGUCCAGCUUCUGCUGAUUUCCAGAGGACAUUCCAAACAGAGCUGAUAGCCUCAAAAAGGAGCAGUGUGGCUCUACUCAAAACGAAGUGACAGCGUGUCAGUAUGUUCUGAUGAACGCAAUGAAGUCAAACCCUGAAACACUUCCUGGGUUAUCAAUAGAAAGCAAGAAGAAAAAAAAAACAACCCCAAGCCAAACAAAAACACACAAACCAAAAA
Parus major (Great Tit) is the source of this 5355-nucleotide long non-coding RNA. RefSeq lists it as uncharacterized. NCBI's taxonomy places the organism in Eukaryota, Metazoa, Chordata, Aves, Passeriformes, Paridae. The record is from RefSeq and is a predicted model, not a curated record. The transcript has 2 exons.